This 3266-nucleotide long non-coding RNA is filed under the name Lactuca sativa (garden lettuce). RNAcentral's name for it is "long non-coding RNA (LSAT_LNC009649)". Lineage: Eukaryota; Viridiplantae; Streptophyta; Magnoliopsida; Asterales; Asteraceae. The record is from RNAcentral.
AAAUAUAGGAAGCCUCUCCGAGGUCCUUCAUAGCGAAGCACUUCCCGAGCCAGGACUUAACCUCCUGCAAUGUCGGGAUGUCAUUUCCUAUGAGCAGUAUGUCAUCGACAUAUAAUACGAGGAAGAUCACUAUACUCCCACUGGUUUUGACAUACACACAUGAUUCAUCCUCGCAUCGUAUAAACCCAAACUCUUUGACUUUCUCAUCGAAGCAAAGAUUCCAUCUGCGAGACGCUUGCUUAAGUCCACAAAUGGACUUCUCAAUCUUACACACUCUAUUGAGAUGCUUUGCAUUGACAAAACCCUUUGGCUGAGCCAUGUAAACAUCCUCGGCCAACUUUUCAUUAAGGAAAGUAGUUUUGGCAUCCAUCUGCCGUAUUUCAUAAUCAUGAAAUGCAGCAAUGGCCAGCAUCACCCUAAUAGACUUUAUUUUCGUAACUGGUGAGAAGGUCUCAUCAUAGUCAACUCCAGGAUUUUGAGUAAAGAGUAUGGUUGCGCUUCAGGCAAAAUCCACUAUCUAACUCCGUCAAGUUCCUAUUCNCGAAAAGGUUCGAUUACGCCUCUCAGCCACACCGUUCAACUGCGGUGUCNNNNNNNNNNNNNNNNNNNNNNNNNNNNNNNNNNNNNNNNNNNNNNNNNNNNNNNNNNNNNNNNNNNNNNNNNNNNNNNNNNNNNNNNNNNNNNNNNNNNACUAUUAUAGGAAUAGUUAGGAGAUUCUAUUUACUCUCUCACACAUUCUCUCUCUCUCACUCUCUCUCACUCUCUCUCUCUCACUCUCACUCUCUCUCUCUCUCUCUCUCUCUCUCCUUCUCUAGUACGACGAAUUACUCAGGAGUCAGUUCAUUCAUGAGUCUAUACUAUUAUUAUAAUACUUUAAAUGGAAUGUGACACACUAUUUCCCGAUACGACGCUUCAUAGCGCCAUCGCCGUGUAACCAGAGUCUCCUGGAGGGAGAGCGGACAUCAUGUGUAUAGAUCUAUACGGGACAGAUACUCCUGAAUCCUGACUGCUAGCUACAGUUCGAGCCGGUAAGGCCCAUGGGUGACAUAAUGUUACUAACUCUACGCGUGACCUGGAGGGUCAUCAAGGAUUUGAUCGUCAAUCAUCAUGUUUACAUACGAGUUCACAUUCAACCCUUUUAUUCACCUUUAGACUGAGACAGAUGUAUUGUUCAUUCAAUACCCUCCUGGAGUCUAUGUUUUAUUCACCUUUAGACUAAGCCAGGCGUAUUGUUCAUUCAAUACCCUCCUGGAGUCUAUGUUUUAUUCACCUUUAGAUUGAGCCAGGCGUAUUGUUCAUUCAAUACCCUCCUGGAGUCUAUGUUUUAUUCACCUUUAGACUGAGCCAAGCGUAUUGUUCAUUCAAUACCCUCCUGGAGUCUAUGUUUUAUUCACCUUUAGACUGAGCCAGGCGUAUUGUUCAUUCGAUACCCUCCUGGAGUCUAUGUUUUAUUCACCUUUAUACUGAGCCAUGCGUAUUGUUCAUUCGAUACCCUCCUGGAGUCUAUGUUUUACUCACCUUUAGACCGAGCCAGGCGUAUUGUUCAUUCGAUACCCUCCUGGAGUCUAUGUUUUAUUUACUUUAACCAUCAGUUUUACUGCUGAGGUAUAAUAUUAUUUUCCCCUAUUAUUUAUAUUUGUGAUUUUCUCAUAAUCCCUUUAAAGUAAAAACUGUAUUUUGGUAAUGAUGGCAUUUUGGGGAAAUUACUCCUUAAAACAUAAAACUGUCGGGUCUUGGUAGAAGACUGUUUUUGAUAAAGAUACUCCUUGGUUUAAACACAAAACGAUUGGGUCUUGGUAGAAGACUGUUUUUGAUAAAGAUACUCCUUGGUUUAAACAAAGAACGAUUGGGUCUUGGUAGAAGACUGCUUUUAAAUUAGAAAAUAUAGGAUUUUCUGGAAAAAAUUCUAACACUCUGUAGAUUCUAAACCACCAUCUUUUCUGAGUUUAUUUUGAAGAAAAACAUGUAUUUAUAUCAAUGUCAUUAAAUACUUAUGAACUCACCAGCAUUUAAAAAUGCUGAUACUCGCUUUCAAAAUAACUUGUAUUCUCAGGUCAUCGAUAGACAAGUACAUCCCGGGAGCUUUUAUGAAGACAGCCUUGUACCGAGCUGCACUCUAUGUUAUUCUCUGUAUUUACUUUGAUGUUAUUGUAUAAUGUAACCUAUGUAAAAUUAUUACUAUUGAUGCAAUGGUUGUUGUACCUUGAUUACUAUACUACAUAUGUUGUGAUACUUAACAUGACGUCAUCCACCCCAGAACGUUUCCGCCGUUCUCGGUUUUGGGGUGUGAGACUGCUCCUCCAUUAAGGGUAAAGACCCAGCCCGACUGCAAACGGUACUUAUACCUGUCGGUCUAAAAACCGGCGUCACUAUACCCUCACACCUUUAACUCAUCACUCCCUCCGAGGACUAGAAACCAUUCUUUGGUCCUCCGAAGGUACCUAAGAAUGUUCUUGACUGCGGUCCAAUGCGCUCUGCCAGGGUUCCCUUGAUAUCUACUGACCAUGCACAAAGCGAAGGCCACAUCAGGGCGAGUACAAGUCAUAACAUACAUAAUCGAGCCAACUGCGGAAGCGUAUGGUACUCGGCUCAUUUCUGCUCUCUCGACUUCGGUACUUGGGCAUUGAGUCUUACUCAACUUGGCAUUACUUUGGAUUGGUACCUCUCCCUUCUUUGAGUUUUCCAUACUAAAACGUUUUAGUACCUUGUCCAAGUAAGUAUUCUGACUAAGUCCUAUUAGUCUCUUAUUUCUAUCUCUCACUAUCCUUAUUCCCAAAAUAUAGGAAGCCUCUCCGAGGUCCUUCAUAGCGAAGCACUUCCCGAGCCAGGACUUAACCUCCUGCAGAGUCGGGAUGUCGUUUCCUAUGAGUAAUAUGUCAUCGACAUAUAAAACGAGGAAGCUUACUAUACUCCCACUGGCUUUGACAUAUACACAAGAUUCGUCUUCGCUUCGUACAAAUCCAAACUCUUUGACUUUCUCAUCGAAGCAAAGAUUCCAUCUGCGAGACGCUUGCUUAAGUCCAUAAAUGGACUUCUCAAGCUUACACACUCUAUUCGGAUGCUUCAGAUCCACAAACCCCUCUGGCUGAGCCAUGUAAACAUCCUCAGCCAACUUUCCGUUAAGGAAAGCGGUCUUGACAUCCAUUUGCCAAAUCUCAUAAUCAUGAAAUGCGGCAAUUGCUAGCAUCACUCUAAUAGAUUUAAUUUUCGCAACUGGUGAGAAGGUCUCAUCAUAGUCAACUCCGGGAGUUUGAGUAAAGCCCUUC